RNAcentral lists this long non-coding RNA (373 nucleotides) under Nicotiana benthamiana. RNAcentral's name for it is "long non-coding RNA (NBEN_LNC036165)". The record is from RNAcentral. Lineage: Eukaryota; Viridiplantae; Streptophyta; Magnoliopsida; Solanales; Solanaceae.
CAUUCUGCAGCUUAGUAAUGUCCGUUCUUUCCGAGGCAGAUAAUAUAUUUCGAGGGCUUCUGGGACUAUCAUCCUCCAGUUACAAGAAAGAAGCAAUAUUGAAACUGAAGGAUACCCCACAAUGGGUUAAUGUGAAACCUCUCAUGAAAUCUUAUAUAAGGAGUACAUUAUCUCUACUGGAUCAGGUUACUGAUUCAGACAUUCUGGCUUUCGCUUUGACUCGAUUGUGAAACUUCUCAUGAAAUCUUAUUUAAGGAGUACAUUAUGUCUACUGGAUCAGGUUACUGAUUCAGACAUUCUGGCUUUCGCUUUGACUCGAUUCAGGGCUUCUUUACCAUUCUUUGCUGCUUUCCCCUAUCUUUUGCAGAGGCUC